CACUCUGUGUGGGGAACAUGAGAGCCAGACCAAAGCUCAGAGGAACCAGCCUGGACCUCCACCCAGAAGUGUGUCCUCUAAGAGCAAACGGGUGAAGCAUUUCUUUCGUAAUUUAGGGCAAAAAAAGUCAUCUGACAAAAACGUCAAUGAGAAACCAUCCAGCUCUGUGUCCUUAAAGAGUGACUGGUCCAAUCAUCGAUUCAUUGGUUUUAAAUCCCAGCCUGUGUCUUCUGCAGAGAGAGGUCAGAGGUCACAGUCUGCAGGAUCCAGCUGUCCGUC
Molecule: non-coding RNA, 279 nt
Organism: Maylandia zebra (zebra mbuna)
Lineage: Eukaryota; Metazoa; Chordata; Actinopteri; Cichliformes; Cichlidae
Source: RefSeq, a predicted model, not a curated record